Molecule: ribosomal RNA, 460 nt
Filed under: uncultured bacterium
Lineage: Bacteria
Description: partial 16S ribosomal RNA
Rfam family: Bacterial small subunit ribosomal RNA
Source: RNAcentral
CCUACGGGUGGCAGCAGUGAGGAAUAUUGGUCAAUGGACGAGAGUCUGAACCAGCCAAGUAGCGUGAAGGAUGACUGCCCUAUGGGUUGUAAACUUCUUUUAUAUGGGAAUAAAACGUUCCACGUGUGGGAUUUUGUAUGUACCAUAUGAAUAAGGAUCGGCUAACUCCGUGCCAGCAGCCGCGGUAAUACGGAGGAUCCGAGCGUUAUCCGGAUUUAUUGGGUUUAAAGGGAGCGUAGGUGGAUUGUUAAGUCAGUUGUGAAAGUUUGCGGCUCAACCGUAAAAUUGCAGUUGAAACUGGCAGUCUUGAGUACAGUAGAGGGGGGCGGAGUUCGUGGUGUAGCGGUGAAAUGCUUAGAUAUCACGAAGAACUCCGAUUGCGAAGGCAGUUCACUGGACUGCAACUGACACUGAGGCUCGAAAGUGUGGGUAUCAAACAGGAUUAGAUACCCCAGUAGUC